This 77-nucleotide transfer RNA is filed under the name Enterobacter cloacae. RNAcentral's name for it is "tRNA-Arg". It matches the Rfam family "tRNA". Rfam says of the family: Transfer RNA (tRNA) molecules are approximately 80 nucleotides in length. Their secondary structure includes four short double-helical elements and three loops (D, anti-codon, and T loops). RNAcentral also lists the same sequence under 10 other names. The record is from RNAcentral. Lineage: Bacteria; Pseudomonadati; Pseudomonadota; Gammaproteobacteria; Enterobacterales; Enterobacteriaceae.
GCAUCCGUAGCUCAGCUGGAUAGAGUACUCGGCUACGAACCGGGCGGUCGGAGGUUCGAAUCCUCCCGGAUGCACCA